AGAUUAAGUUAUUAAGGGCGCACGGUGGAUGCCUUGGCACUAGAAGCCGAUGAAGGACGUUACUAACGACGAUAUGCUUUGGGGAGCUGUAAGUAAGCUUUGAUCCAGAGAUUUCCGAAUGGGGAAACCCAGCAUGAGUUAUGUCAUGUUAUCGAUAUGUGAAUACAUAGCAUAUCAGAAGGCACACCCGGAGAACUGAAACAUCUUAGUACCCGGAGGAAGAGAAAGAAAAUUCGAUUCCCUUAGUAGCGGCGAGCGAAACGGGAAGAGCCCAAACCAACAAGCUUGCUUGUUGGGGUUGUAGGACACUCUAUACGGAGUUACAAAGGACGACAUUAGACGAAUCAUCUGGAAAGAUGAAUCAAAGAAGGUAAUAAUCCUGUAGUCGAAAAUGUUGUCUCUCUUGAGUGGAUCCUGAGUACGACGGAGCACGUGAAAUUCCGUCGGAAUCUGGGAGGACCAUCUCCUAAGGCUAAAUACUCUCUAGUGACCGAUAGUGAACCAGUACCGUGAGGGAAAGGUGAAAAGCACCCCGGAAGGGGAGUGAAAUAGAACCUGAAACCGUGUGCUUACAAGUAGUCAGAGCCCGUUAAUGGGUGAUGGCGUGCCUUUUGUAGAAUGAACCGGCGAGUUACGAUUUGAUGCAAGGUUAAGCAGUAAAUGUGGAGCCGUAGCGAAAGCGAGUCUGAAUAGGGCGUUUAGUAUUUGGUCGUAGACCCGAAACCAGGUGAUCUACCCUUGGUCAGGUUGAAGUUCAGGUAACACUGAAUGGAGGACCGAACCGACUUACGUUGAAAAGUGAGCGGAUGAACUGAGGGUAGCGGAGAAAUUCCAAUCGAACCUGGAGAUAGCUGGUUCUCUCCGAAAUAGCUUUAGGGCUAGCCUCAAGUGAUGAUUAUUGGAGGUAGAGCACUGUUUGGACGAGGGGCCCCUCUCGGGUUACCGAAUUCAGACAAACUCCGAAUGCCAAUUAAUUUAACUUGGGAGUCAGAACAUGGGUGAUAAGGUCCGUGUUCGAAAGGGAAACAGCCCAGACCACCAGCUAAGGUCCCAAAAUAUAUGUUAAGUGGAAAAGGAUGUGGCGUUGCCCAGACAACUAGGAUGUUGGCUUAGAAGCAGCCAUCAUUUAAAGAGUGCGUAAUAGCUCACUAGUCGAGUGACACUGCGCCGAAAAUGUACCGGGGCUAAACAUAUUACCGAAGCUGUGGAUUGUCCUUUGGACAAUGGUAGGAGAGCGUUCUAAGGGCGUUGAAGCAUGAUCGUAAGAGNNNNNNNNNNNNNNNNNNNNNNNNNNNNNNNNNNNNNNNNNNNNNNNNNNNNNNNNNNNNNNNNNNNNNNNNNNNNNNNNNNNNNNNNNNNNNNNNNGACAUGUGGAGCGCUUAGAAGUGAGAAUGCCGGUGUGAGUAGCGAAAGACGGGUGAGAAUCCCGUCCACCGAUUGACUAAGGUUUCCAGAGGAAGGCUCGUCCGCUCUGGGUUAGUCGGGUCCUAAGCUGAGGCCGACAGGCGUAGGCGAUGGAUAACAGGUUGAUAUUCCUGUACCACCUAUAAUCGUUUUAAUCGAUGGGGGGACGCAGUAGGAUAGGCGAAGCGUGCGAUUGGAUUGCACGUCUAAGCAGUAAGGCUGAGUAUUAGGCAAAUCCGGUACUCGUUAAGGCUGAGCUGUGAUGGGGAGAAGACAUUGUGUCUUCGAGUCGUUGAUUUCACACUGCCGAGAAAAGCCUCUAGAUAGAAAAUAGGUGCCCGUACCGCAAACCGACACAGGUAGUCAAGAUGAGAAUUCUAAGGUGAGCGAGCGAACUCUCGUUAAGGAACUCGGCAAAAUGACCCCGUAACUUCGGGAGAAGGGGUGCUCUUUAGGGUUAACGCCCAGAAGAGCCGCAGUGAAUAGGCCCAAGCGACUGUUUAUCAAAAACACAGGUCUCUGCUAAACCGUAAGGUGAUGUAUAGGGGCUGACGCCUGCCCGGUGCUGGAAGGUUAAGAGGAGUGGUUAGCUUCUGCGAAGCUACGAAUCGAAGCCCCAGUAAACGGCGGCCGUAACUAUAACGGUCCUAAGGUAGCGAAAUUCCUUGUCGGGUAAGUUCCGACCCGCACGAAAGGCGUAACGAUUUGGGCACUGUCUCAACGAGAGACUCGGUGAAAUCAUAGUACCUGUGAAGAUGCAGGUUACCCGCGACAGGACGGAAAGACCCCGUGGAGCUUUACUGUAGCCUGAUAUUGAAAUUCGGCACAGCUUGUACAGGAUAGGUAGGAGCCUUUGAAACGUGAGCGCUAGCUUACGUGGAGGCGCUGGUGGGAUACUACCCUAGCUGUGUUGGCUUUCUAACCCGCACCACUUAUCGUGGUGGGAGACAGUGUCAGGCGGGCAGUUUGACUGGGGCGGUCGCCUCCUAAAAGGUAACGGAGGCGCUCAAAGGUUCCCUCAGAAUGGUUGGAAAUCAUUCAUAGAGUGUAAAGGCAUAAGGGAGCUUGACUGCGAGACCUACAAGUCGAGCAGGGUCGAAAGACGGACUUAGUGAUCCGGUGGUUCCGCAUGGAAGGGCCAUCGCUCAACGGAUAAAAGCUACCCCGGGGAUAACAGGCUUAUCUCCCCCAAGAGUUCACAUCGACGGGGAGGUUUGGCACCUCGAUGUCGGCUCAUCGCAUCCUGGGGCUGUAGUCGGUCCCAAGGGUUGGGCUGUUCGCCCAUUAAAGCGGUACGCGAGCUGGGUUCAGAACGUCGUGAGACAGUUCGGUCCCUAUCCGUCGUGGGCGUAGGAAAUUUGAGAGGAGCUGUCCUUAGUACGAGAGGACCGGGAUGGACAUACCUCUGGUGUACCAGUUGUCGUGCCAACGGCAUAGCUGGGUAGCUAUGUGUGGACGGGAUAAGUGCUGAAAGCAUCUAAGCAUGAAGCCCCCCUCAAGAUGAGAUUUCCCAACUUCGGUUAUAAGAUCCCUCAAAGAUGAUGAGGUUAAUAGGUUCGAGGUGGAAGCAUGGUGACAUGUGGAGCUGACGAAUACUAAUCGAUCGAAGACUUAAUCAAAA
RNAcentral lists this ribosomal RNA (3025 nucleotides) under Staphylococcus aureus. RNAcentral's name for it is "23S ribosomal RNA". It matches the Rfam family "Bacterial large subunit ribosomal RNA". The record is from RNAcentral. Lineage: Bacteria; Bacillati; Bacillota; Bacilli; Caryophanales; Staphylococcaceae.